CCUACGGGUGGCAGCAGUGAGGAAUAUUGGUCAAUGGACGCGAGUCUGACCCAGCCAAGUAGCGUGAAGGAUGACUGCCCUAUGGGUGUUAAACUUCUUUUAUAUGGGAAUAAAAUGUUCCACGUGUGGGAUUUUGUAUGUACCAUAUGAAUAAGGAUCGGCUAACUCCGUGCCAGCAGCCGCGGUAAUACGGAGGAUCCGAGCGUUAUCCGGAUUUAUUGGGUUUAAAGGGAGCGUAGGUGGAUUGUUAAGUCAGUUGUGAAAGCUUUCGGCUCAACCGUAAAAUUGCAGUUGAAACUGGCAGUCUUGAGUACAGUAGAGGCGGGCGGAAGUCGUGGUGUAGCGGUGAAAUGCUUAGAUAUUACGAAGAACUCCGAUUGCGAAGGCAGUUCACUGGACUGCAACUGACACUGAGGCGCGAAAGUGUGGGUAUCAAACAGGAUUAGAUACCCGAGUAGUC
This 460-nucleotide ribosomal RNA is filed under the name uncultured bacterium. Its description in RNAcentral is "partial 16S ribosomal RNA". It matches the Rfam family "Bacterial small subunit ribosomal RNA", at positions 338 to 795 of the family's 1533-position model. The record is from RNAcentral.